UACAUGGGGUGCAAACGUUGCUCGGAAUUAUUGGGCGUAAAGCGCGCGUAGGCGGUUACUUAAGUCGGAUGUGAAAGCCCUCGGCUUAACUGAGGAAGGGCGCCCGAAACUGCAGAGCUUGAGUGCCGGAGAGGGUGGCGGAAUUCCCCAAGUAGAGGUGAAAUUCGUAGAUAUGGGGAGGAACACCAGUGGCGAAGGCGGCUACCUGGACCGGUUCUGACGCUGAUGCGCGAAAGCGUGGGUAGCAAACAGG
RNAcentral lists this ribosomal RNA (253 nucleotides) under uncultured bacterium. Its description in RNAcentral is "partial 16S ribosomal RNA". It matches the Rfam family "Bacterial small subunit ribosomal RNA", at positions 524 to 776 of the family's 1533-position model. The record is from RNAcentral.